GACGAACGCUGGCGGCGUGCUUAACACAUGCAAGUCGAACGGAAAGGCCCUGCUUUUGUGGGGUGCUCGAGUGGCGAACGGGUGAGUAACACGUGAGUAACCUGCCCUUGACUUUGGGAUAACUUCAGGAAACUGGGGCUAAUACCGGAUAGGAGCUCCUGCUGCAUGGUGGGGGUUGGAAAGUUUCGGCGGUUGGGGAUGGACUCGCGGCUUAUCAGCUUGUUGGUGGGGGAGUGGCUUACCAAGGCUGUGACGGGUAGCCGGCCCGAGAGGGUGACCGGCCUCAAGGGGACUGAGAGACGGCGCAGACUCCUACGGGAGGCAGCAGUGGCGAAUAUUGCACAACGGGAGGAAGCCUGAGGCAGCAACGCCGCGUGCGGGAUGACGGCCUUCGGGUUGUAAACCGCUUUCGCCUGUGACGAAGCGUGAGUGACGGUAAUGGGUAAAGAAGCACCGGCUAACUACGUG
This 468-nucleotide ribosomal RNA is filed under the name uncultured bacterium. RNAcentral describes it as "partial 16S ribosomal RNA". It matches the Rfam family "Bacterial small subunit ribosomal RNA", at positions 28 to 507 of the family's 1533-position model. The record is from RNAcentral.